AUUGUAGUCUGCAACUCGACUACAUGAAGCUGGAAUCGCUAGUAAUCGCGAAUCAGAAUGUCGCGGUGAAUACGUUCCCGGGUCUUGUACACACCGCCCGUCACACCAUGGGAGUUGGUAACGCCCGAAGUCAGUGACCCAACCGAAAGGAGGGAGCUGCCUAAGGCGGGACCGAUAACUGGGGUGAAGUCGUAACAAGGUAAC
RNAcentral lists this ribosomal RNA (204 nucleotides) under uncultured bacterium. Its description in RNAcentral is "partial 16S ribosomal RNA". It matches the Rfam family "Bacterial small subunit ribosomal RNA", at positions 1297 to 1500 of the family's 1533-position model. The record is from RNAcentral.